AAAUGAAUAGACGGGGGCCCGCACAAGCGGUGGAGUAUGUGGUUUAAUUCGAAGCAACGCGAAGAACCUUACCAAGACUUGACAUCCCUUUGAAUACUGCGUAACUGCAGUAGGCCUUCGGGACAAAGGUGACAGGUGGUGCAUGGUUGUCGUCAGCUCGUGUCGUGAGAUGUUGGGUUAAGUCCCGCAACGAGCGCAACCCUUAUCCUAAGUAGCUAGCAGGUAAUGCUGAGCACUCUGAGGAGACUGCCGGGGAUAACUCGGAGGAAGGUGGGGAUGACGUCAAAUCAUCAUGCCCCUUAUGUUUUGGGCUACACACGUACUACAAUGGCUGCUACAAAGAGAAGCGAGACCGCGAGGUGGAGCAAAGCUCAUAAAGGCAGUCCCAGUUCGGAUUGUAGGCUGCAACUCGCCUACAUGAAGUUGGAAUCGCUAGUAAUCGCGAAUCAGCAUGUCGCGGUGAAUACGUUCCCGGGCCUUGUACACACCGCCCGU
RNAcentral lists this ribosomal RNA (495 nucleotides) under uncultured bacterium. RNAcentral describes it as "bacterial SSU rRNA". It matches the Rfam family "Bacterial small subunit ribosomal RNA", at positions 903 to 1397 of the family's 1533-position model. The record is from RNAcentral.